UGGGGAAUUUUCCGCAAUGGGCGAAAGCGUGACGGAGCAAUGCCGCGUGCAGGACGAAGCCCCUCGGGGUGUAAACUGCUGUCAGGGUUUAGGAAUCCAUGACCAGACCCAAAGGAAGGACCGGCUAACUCUGUGCCAGCAGCCGCGGUAAUACAGAGGGUCCAAGCGUUGAUCGGAAUCACUGGGCUUAAAGGGUGCGCAGGCGGCGCCGCAAGUACGUUGUGAAAUCCCUCGGCUUAACCGAGGAACUGCUUCGUAGACUGCGGUGCUUGAGCAUGACAGGGGCAACCGGAACUCUAGGUGGAGCGGUGGAAUGCGUAGAUAUCUAGAGGAACGCCAAACGGGAAGCCAGGUUGCUGGGUCAUUGCUGACGCUCAGGCACGAAAGCGUGGGUAGCGAACGGGAUUAGAUACCCCCGUAGUCC
Molecule: ribosomal RNA, 424 nt
Filed under: uncultured prokaryote
Description: bacterial SSU rRNA
Rfam family: Bacterial small subunit ribosomal RNA
Source: RNAcentral